GCUAGAACUCCAAUGUACUGCAUAACACCCCACCCAGAAAAUUACAUCGAAACUCGUCUAUGAUCCAUCCAUUUUAUUAUAUAUCCGUGGGAAAAACCUAGAGAUACAAGGCCACAGAUUGAGCCAGAGAAGGAAAAACCUAGGGAUAAAAGGCCACAGAUUGAGUCUGGAGACCUUCUCUCUACGGCUUGUAAAAGCCUGUUUUUUAGGACGAAAACCCACCCGCUAUAUUAACUUCUCAGCAAAUAUUCCUGGACGAAAAUUCUAGCUGGGAGUUGAGUACGAAUGCUACAUCUUCUGGAGCGUUUCAGGACGACAAUUCAAGAUUGACGAGUAGAACAGUAAACCCUGUUAAACCAGUUGUAGCUGAAAAGUCAGUUAAUUCUUCAAGGAAGGGAGGAGAAGGUAGAAGGGUUGGGGAGGAGAGAGAAGAGCUGUGCAAUGAGUCAAAAAAAACUCCUUAAAAGAAAAGCUGAGAUCAUGGAGCUGGAACAUAUCCAUAAAUUAAAACUGGAGAAAGAGGAGGCUGAGGAAAAGAAAAAAACUCAAGAACUGCUUAGAACACAUGCCCAACUUCUUUUCGAUAAAAAAAUGGAAAUCCUUGUUUCCAUUCAAAAGUCCAUUGAGGACCCCGCUCAGAGAGCAUCAGUAAACUUUGCAUCAUUUUUUUUAAUGAUUUUCAAGCAGGGGGAUUUAUUUUCUACAAAUACAGUUUCACAUUAUUUGGUUACAUUUUACCAAAAAAUUCAUUAUUAUCCUCUUAAAAUCAUCCAAUUUUGCAAACUCAGCUAAUGAAUUCCUAAAAAAUAUAUCCCUUUAGCUUUUAUGCACAAUGCACAAU
Eurytemora carolleeae is the source of this 841-nucleotide long non-coding RNA. RefSeq lists it as uncharacterized. The transcript is spliced from 3 exons. The record is from RefSeq and is a predicted model, not a curated record. NCBI's taxonomy places the organism in Eukaryota, Metazoa, Arthropoda, Copepoda, Calanoida, Temoridae.